Molecule: ribosomal RNA, 301 nt
Filed under: uncultured bacterium
Lineage: Bacteria
Description: partial 16S ribosomal RNA
Rfam family: Bacterial small subunit ribosomal RNA
Source: RNAcentral
CAGCCGCCGCGGGAAUACGUAGGUGGCAAGCGUUGUCCGGAAUUAUUGGGCGUAAAGGGCUCGCAGGCGGUUUCUUAAGUCUGAUGUGUAAGCCCCCGGCUCAACCGGGGAGGGUCAUUGGAAACUGGGAAACUUGAGUGCAGAAGAGGAGAGUGGAAUUCCACGUGUAGCGGCGAAAUGCGUAGAGAUGUGGAGGAACACCAGUGGCGAAGGCGACUCUCUGGUCUGUAACUGACGCUGAGGAGCGAAAGCGUGGGGAGCGAACAGGAUUAGAUACCCGCGUAGUCCCUGUCUCUUAUAC